GAUGAACGCUGGCGGCGUGCCUAAUACAUGCAAGUGAAACGGGUGUUCUUCGGAACACUAGUCGCGAACGGGUGAGUAAUACAUAGGCAACCUGCCCAUGUGAGGGGGAUAACUGAGGGAAACUUCAGCUAAUACCGCAUAAAGAACUCUGGGCAUCCAGAGGAGAUGAAAGAUGGUGCAAGCCAUCGCACACGGAUGGGCCUAUGGCGCAUUAGCUAGUUGGUGAGGUAACGGCUCACCAAGGCGACGAUCAGUAGCCGGUCUGAGGGGAUGAACGGCCACAUUGGGACUGAGACACGGCCCAAACUCCUACGGGAGGCAGCAGUGGGGAAUAUUGCACAAUGGGGGAAACCCUGACGCAGCAACGCCGCGUGAAGGAUGAAGGCCUUCGGGUUGUAAACUUUUUGACUGGGGACGAAGAAUGACGGUACCCAAAAACAAGUCACGGCUAACUACGUG
RNAcentral lists this ribosomal RNA (459 nucleotides) under uncultured bacterium. Its description in RNAcentral is "bacterial SSU rRNA". It matches the Rfam family "Bacterial small subunit ribosomal RNA", at positions 28 to 507 of the family's 1533-position model. The record is from RNAcentral.